CCUACGGGUGGCAGCAGUAAGGAAUAUUGGUCAAUGGACGCAAGUCUGAACCAGCCAUGCCGCGUGAAGGAUGAAGGUCCUCUGGAUUGUAAACUUCUUUUAUAGGGGGCGAAAAAAGGGAAUUCUUUCUCACUUGACAGUACCCUAUGAAUAAGCACCGGCUAACUCCGUGCCAGCAGCCGCGGUAAUACGGAGGGUGCAAGCGUUAUCCGGAUUCACUGGGUUUAAAGGGUGCGUAGGCGGAUAGGUAAGUCAGGGGUGAAAUCCUGGAGCUUAACUCCAGAACUGCCUUUGAUACUAUCUAUCUUGAAUAUGGUGGAGGUAAGCGGAAUAUGUCAUGUAGCGGUGAAAUGCAUAGAUAUGACAUAGAACACCUAUUGCGAAGGCAGCUUACUACGCCUAUAUUGACGCUGAGGCACGAAAGCGUGGGGAUCAAACAGGAUUAGAUACCCUAGUAGUC
RNAcentral lists this ribosomal RNA (460 nucleotides) under uncultured bacterium. RNAcentral describes it as "bacterial SSU rRNA". It matches the Rfam family "Bacterial small subunit ribosomal RNA", at positions 338 to 795 of the family's 1533-position model. The record is from RNAcentral.